UUGGACUGCCGCCUUGGUAUACAUUUCCAGG
RNAcentral lists this non-coding RNA (31 nucleotides) under Rattus norvegicus (Norway rat). The record is from RNAcentral. Lineage: Eukaryota; Metazoa; Chordata; Mammalia; Rodentia; Muridae.